GAGGGUAUAGCUCAGUGGUAGAGUGCAUGCUUAGCACGCGUGAGGUCCUGGGUUCAAUCCCCAGUACUGUCA
Molecule: transfer RNA, 72 nt
Filed under: Camelus bactrianus (Bactrian camel)
Lineage: Eukaryota; Metazoa; Chordata; Mammalia; Artiodactyla; Camelidae
Also listed under: 2 other names
Rfam family: tRNA
About the family: Transfer RNA (tRNA) molecules are approximately 80 nucleotides in length. Their secondary structure includes four short double-helical elements and three loops (D, anti-codon, and T loops). Further hydrogen bonds mediate the characteristic L-shaped molecular structure. tRNAs have two regions of fundamental functional importance: the anti-codon, which is responsible for specific mRNA codon recognition, and the 3' end, to which the tRNAs corresponding amino acid is attached (by aminoacyl-tRNA synthetases). tRNAs cope with the degeneracy of the genetic code in two manners: having more than one tRNA (with a specific anti-codon) for a particular amino acid; and 'wobble' base-pairing, i.e. permitting non-standard base-pairing at the 3rd anti-codon position.
Source: Rfam by way of RNAcentral